UUCAUUCAGUUUCUGGAUCUUUAAAAUAAGGAGGUUAGUUGAUAUGACCUCCAAGAUUCUUUUUCCCCAUUAAAAUGAUUUCUCCCAUAAUCCCACUCCCAUAAUGAAUCAUCUGACUCCUUUGAGAUUCUUCAGUAGAGAAGGAGCAGGGUCAAGAAAAAAAAAGGUCAACCAGCCAAAACAGAUCAAAUCUGCUGCAACUCUUGAGCAACAUUUAUGAAGAAACUGAGGGUCAGCAGAGAACGACUUGGCUAGAAAAUCCAGGAGUAGGAAACGGAACUAUGAUCAUCCAUUUUCCAAGUCUAGGAUUCUCUCUGCUAUAAAAUCUUGCAAAUGAAAAUGCCCACUCCAAACCCCAAUGCAUGAAGAUAUAGCAACCUACUUCCUUUCCCAACUCAAUAUUGCUGGGACAUCCUGGUGUGAUAAAAAGGCCUAGUUUCCACAUCUGAAGAAUGAAGGGAUAUCAAACUCAAGUAGAAAAGAGACCAUUAAACUCUACAAAAGGUUGCCUCUGAGUCACAAAAUGAUUUAGAAAACUGCAUAUUAAGCCCUUUUU
This is a long non-coding RNA of Sarcophilus harrisii (Tasmanian devil), 556 nucleotides long. RefSeq lists it as uncharacterized. The record is from RefSeq and is a predicted model, not a curated record. The transcript has 3 exons. Lineage: Eukaryota; Metazoa; Chordata; Mammalia; Dasyuromorphia; Dasyuridae.